RNAcentral lists this ribosomal RNA (399 nucleotides) under Tetraselmis cordiformis. RNAcentral describes it as "partial small subunit ribosomal RNA". It matches the Rfam family "Eukaryotic small subunit ribosomal RNA", at positions 30 to 432 of the family's 1831-position model. Lineage: Eukaryota; Viridiplantae; Chlorophyta; Chlorodendrophyceae; Chlorodendrales; Chlorodendraceae. The record is from RNAcentral.
GCUUGUCUCAAAGAUUAAGCCAUGCAUGUCUAAGGAUAAACAACUUAUACUGUGAAACUGCGAAUGGCUCAUUAAAUGAGUUAUAGUUUAUUUGAUGGUGCCUACUACUCGCAUAACCGAACUAAUUCUAGAGCUAAUACGUGCGUAAAUCCCGACUCCUCAAAGAAACGUAUUUAUUAGAUUUAAAGCCAACCGAGCUUGCUCGUCUCUUGAUGAAUCAUGAUAACUUCACAAAUCGCAUGGCCUCGCGCCGGCGAUAUUCCAUUCAAGUUUCUGCCCUAUCAAUUGGCGAUGGUAGGAUAGAGGCCUGCCAUGGUGUUAACGGGUGACGGGGGAUAAGGGUUCGAUUCCGGAGAGGCAACUUGAGAAACGGCUACCACAUCCAAGGAAGGCAGCAGG